CUACGUAGGGUGCAAGCGUUAAUCGGAAUUACCGGGCGUAAAGCGUGCGCAGGCGGUUUUGUAAGACAGUGGUGAAAUCCCCGGGCUCAACCUGGGAACUGCCAUUGUGACUGCAAGGCUGGAGUGCGGCAGUGGGGGAUGGAAUUCCGCGUGUAGCAGUGAAAUGCGUAGAUAUGCGGAGGAACACCGAUGGCGAAGGCAAUCCCCUGGGCCUGUACUGACGCUCAUGCACGAAAGCGUGGGGAGCAAACAGGAUUUGAUACCCUGGUAGUCCACGCCCUAAACGAUGUCAACUGGUUGUUGGGUCUUCAUUGACUCAGUAACGAAGCUAACGCGUGAAGUUGACCGCCUGGGGAGUACGGCCGCAAGGUUGAAACUCAAAUGAAUUGACGGGG
Molecule: ribosomal RNA, 395 nt
Filed under: uncultured bacterium
Lineage: Bacteria
Description: partial 16S ribosomal RNA
Rfam family: Bacterial small subunit ribosomal RNA
Source: RNAcentral